GCACUGCUGAGAAGUCCCGCAAUAGGACGAAACGGCAGUCCAGUGC
Schistosoma rodhaini is the source of this 46-nucleotide non-coding RNA. NCBI's taxonomy places the organism in Eukaryota, Metazoa, Platyhelminthes, Trematoda, Strigeidida, Schistosomatidae. The record is from Rfam.